Molecule: small RNA, 676 nt
Filed under: Pongo abelii (Sumatran orangutan)
Lineage: Eukaryota; Metazoa; Chordata; Mammalia; Primates; Hominidae
Description: retained intron
Source: RNAcentral
ACCUUUAUUUGUCGUCUUUCAACUGGCAAGAGUCAUUUUGACCAGCAGAUUAAUCAACUGUAAGACGGAUCCUCACACAAAGAGGCAACCGAAAGGAUGAAAUCACUGACUUGGAUAUUGAGCCUUUGGGCUUUUGCAGCAUGUUUCACAGUAAGUAUCAUUAAUCACAAUCACACAUCUGUAUACUUUCUCAUUAACCAUUACUUCAGAUUUCUUUUUACAUUAAUGAUGUUACCUUUUCUUAUAUAUUAGUAACUAUUAACCAUCGAUGAAACACUGUUUAGGGCUUAAAUUUAAAUUUAAAAUCUAAUUUAAAUAACCACACAUGUCUGAUGGCUGCCAUACUGGACAGCUCAAGUCUGUGAUAUCAGACUGCAUUAAACAGAUAUGGAUAAAUGUUAAGUUCCCAUACUCUAGUCAGUUACACAGUAGGUAAAACUCUAUAAAAACAGAUAAUCAAAAUAAAACCGUUUUCCCAGCAUGUAGUUUAUGGAUCAUUUACACCAGAGUCACCUAACUCACUUAUUAAAAAUAUAGUAAAGACCUCAUCCAAGCCUCAAUAAGAGUAUCAGAUAAUGGGACCUGGAAAUAUGCGUUCUACCAAGGAUCUACAAGUAUCUUUGCAUGGUAAAUUUUGACAGAAUGCUAAGCAUUUAUAUAUAAACAACUACUUUGU